GUGACCUUUUAAGGUAGACCCUGUUUUUUAAGAGGCUAACACAGAAUGGUAAAGUAAGUCUCCAUAAAACCCAGAGAAGAGACUGUGAAACUCCCCUUUGGACGCCGUAUGAAGUCAUAGCA
Small nucleolar RNA from Saimiri boliviensis boliviensis (Bolivian squirrel monkey), 122 nucleotides. The record is from Ensembl. NCBI's taxonomy places the organism in Eukaryota, Metazoa, Chordata, Mammalia, Primates, Cebidae.